Molecule: ribosomal RNA, 800 nt
Filed under: uncultured soil archaeon
Lineage: Archaea
Description: bacterial SSU rRNA
Rfam family: Archaeal small subunit ribosomal RNA
Source: RNAcentral
CUAGGCGUACAGCUCAGUAACACGUGGCUAACCUGCCCUUGAGACGGAAACAUCCCCGGGAAACUGGGGCUAAUUUCCGAUAGGUGAAGACUCCUGGAAUGGAUUUUCGCCGAAAGGGCGCCUAGGGCAUGCUUCUAGGUGUUGCUCAAGGAUGGGGCCGCGGCCGAUCAGGUUGUUGGUGAGGUAAUGGCUCACCAAGCCUUUAACCGGUACGGGCCGUGGGAGCGGUAUCCCGGAGAUGGGCACUGAGACAAGGGCCCAGGCCCUACGGGGCGCAGCAGUCGCGAAAACUUCGCAAUAAGCGAAAGCUUGACGGGGCCAUCCCGAGUGCCAUCUGCUGAGGAUGGCUUUUACCCAGUAUAGAUAGCUGGGGGAAUAAGGAGAGGGCAAGUCUGGUGUCAGCCGCCGCGGUAAUACCAGCUCUCCGAGUUGUAGGGAUGUUUAUUGGGCCUAAAGCAUCCGUAGCCGGCUGGACAAGUCCCCUGUUAAAUCCAGCGACCAAUCGUUGGUCUGCGGGGGAUACUGUCCGGCUAGGGGGCGGGAGAGGCCGUCGGUAUUCUUGGGGUAGGGGUGAAAUCCUAUAAUCCCAGGAGGACCACCAGUGGCGAAGGCUGUCGGCUAGAACGCGCCCGACGGUGAGGGAUGAAAGCUGGGGGAGCGAACCGGAUUAGAUACCCGGGUAGUCCCAGCUGUAAACGAUGCAGGCUAGGUGUUAGGGCGGCUACGUGCCGCUCUAGUGCCGCAGGGAAGCUGUUAAGCCUGCCGCCUGGGGAAACGGCCGCAAGCUGAACUUAAAGGCC